GACGAACGCUGGCGGCGUGCUUAACACAUGCAAGUCGAACGGAAAGGCCCUGCUUUUGUGGGGUGCUCGAGUGGCGAACGGGUGAGUAACACGUGAGUAACCUGCCCUUGACUUUGGGAUAACUUCAGGAAACUGGGGCUAAUACCGGAUAGGAGCUCCUGCUGCAUGGUGGGGGUUGGAAAGUUUCGGCGGUUGGGGAUGGACUCGCGGCUUAUCAGCUUGUUGGUGGGGUAGUGGCUUACCAAGGCUUUGACGGGUAGCCGGCCUGAGAGGGUGACCGGCCACAUGGGGACUGAGAUACGGCCCAGACUCAUACGGGAGGCAGCAGUGGGGAAUAUUGCACAAUGGGCGGAAGCCUGAUGCAGCAACGCCGCGUGCGGGAUGACGGCCUUCGGGUUGUAAACCGCUUUCGCCUGUGACGAAGCGUGAGUGACGGUAAUGGGUAAAGAAGCACCGGCUAACUACGUG
RNAcentral lists this ribosomal RNA (468 nucleotides) under uncultured bacterium. Its description in RNAcentral is "partial 16S ribosomal RNA". It matches the Rfam family "Bacterial small subunit ribosomal RNA", at positions 28 to 507 of the family's 1533-position model. The record is from RNAcentral.